This 488-nucleotide ribosomal RNA is filed under the name Saccostrea cuccullata complex sp. LJ-11. RNAcentral describes it as "Saccostrea cucullata complex sp. LJ-11 partial 16S ribosomal RNA". It matches the Rfam family "Bacterial large subunit ribosomal RNA", at positions 1832 to 2597 of the family's 2925-position model. The record is from RNAcentral. Lineage: Eukaryota; Metazoa; Mollusca; Bivalvia; Ostreida; Ostreidae.
CACUAGGAGAAGUCUUACUCUUAGCAGUACCUGCCCAGUGCAAAGUUGUAAACGGCCGCCCUAGCGUGAGGGUGCCAAGGUAGCGAAAUUCCUUGCCUUUUAAUUGUAGGCCUGCAUGAAUGGAUUGACGAGGGUCAAACUGUCUCUUGCUUUGUAUGACGAAAUUGGACUGAAGGUGAAGAUACCUUCAUGUGAAAGUUAGACAAGAAGACCCCGUGCAGCUUUUAAAAACUUACUUAUUAAGAGCUAUAAGAUUUUUAGGUGGGGCGCCUAGGAAGUAAAACUUAACCUUCUUAUUUGUUAAAAGUAACUGUCUGGUGUAGACCCGGCAAGUCCGAUCAUGGGAGAAGUUACGCCGGGGAUAACAGGCUUAUCCAUUAGUAGAGCUCGUAUUGGCUAAUGGGAUUGGCACCUCGAUGUUGAAUUAAGGAUGAUAACUCUAAGGCGUAGAGGCUUUGGAAGUGGGUCUGUUCGACCUUUAAUACCUU